ACUCAAGACAGAAAAGAGUGAGGCGACGAUGUGGACAAACUAUUGUGAGCUGCUGCACAACAGAUUUCAUCCGAGGCCACAACUAGUGCUAUCAGAAUUCAUUGGCAACAUCCUCAAAAAUGGAUCAUUCAUUUCUGAGCAAAAAAGUUUUUGGGAGAUCGUGCUGCUGAGUGUGAACUAUCUAGCACGGCUCUUACAAGACGUCAUAACGUCCCUUGCGUGUGGGUGUGACUGAGCGAUUCGAGGAAGAUGGCUGCGAAAAGGGAGAGUGAUUGAGAAAUCUAACCAACGUUUGUUUAUGACUGGCAGAAUUCUGCGGUUUACAACUGGCCCGGAAGAUUAAUGAUAUGAAUGAGUGUCAUCUGCUGCCAUUGGUUUAUGUUUACCUUUUUUUCAAGAAAAGGCACCAGUGGACGUGAUUGGAAUUUAUUUGCUAGCUGCCCUUCUCGGGCAGUUUACUCCGUAGAAAUCUCUGCUUGGCAACCCAACAUUUAACGUUGUGAAAUACUGGAAAUAAAGCAGGACGUUGGCAACAGCAAGCGACCACAGCACAGGCAGCAGCAGCAGCAGCAGCAGCAGCAGCAGUGGGAAGCACGUUAUUGAAAGUUCUGGAGGGACCAGAGAUAUGACUCAGAGCCCUUGAGGACGACAUGGAGCUCUAGCUUGCCACACCAAACCUCAGCUCAAGAGUGUAUCUGUCUGAGAAUGGAGUGGUGCAGGUUGCAGGCUGGAUGACCGGGUCUGCAGGGAGCUCUGACCACCCUCACCCCCGCACCAGACCAACUCCCUGUCUGAACGCUGCUCCAUCUCUGUGCUGACGGUGAUCUGGAGAGACGGCCACCCCCCUCCUCCUCCUCCUCCUCCCCCUCUCUCCCCACGGCCACAGCAUUGCGUACUCUAGGGCAAUCGGCCCUCCCCUUCCUCUCCUCUCACCCCCCAGCCUGCAUAUAAGGAC
Long non-coding RNA from Clupea harengus (Atlantic herring), 955 nucleotides. RefSeq lists it as uncharacterized. NCBI's taxonomy places the organism in Eukaryota, Metazoa, Chordata, Actinopteri, Clupeiformes, Clupeidae. The record is from RefSeq and is a predicted model, not a curated record. The transcript has 3 exons.